GAUGAACGCUGGCGGCGUGCUUAACACAUGCAAGUCGAACGGGAUCCAUCAAGCUUGCUUGGUGGUGAGAGUGGCGAACGGGUGAGUAAUGCGUGACCGACCUGCCCCAUACACCGGAAUAGCUCCUGGAAACGGGUGGUAAUGCCGGAUGCUCCAGUUGAUCGCAUGGUCUUCUGGGAAAGCUUUCGCGGUAUGGGAUGGGGUCGCAUCCUAUCAGCUUGACGGCGGGGUAACGGCCCACCGUGGCUUCGACGGGUAGCCGGCCUGAGAGGGCGACCGGCCACAUUGGGACUGAGAUACGGCCCAGACUCCUACGGGAGGCAGCAGUGGGGAAUAUUGCACAAUGGGCGCAAGCCUGAUGCAGCGACGCCGCGUGAGGGAUGGAGGCCUUCGGGUUGUAAACCUCUUUUAUCGGGGAGCAAGCGAGAGUGAGUUUACCCGUUGAAUAAGCACCGGCUA
This 459-nucleotide ribosomal RNA is filed under the name uncultured bacterium. Its description in RNAcentral is "bacterial SSU rRNA". It matches the Rfam family "Bacterial small subunit ribosomal RNA", at positions 28 to 499 of the family's 1533-position model. The record is from RNAcentral.